This 75-nucleotide transfer RNA is filed under the name Gemmiger sp. Its description in RNAcentral is "tRNA-Gln". It matches the Rfam family "tRNA". From Rfam's summary of the family: Transfer RNA (tRNA) molecules are approximately 80 nucleotides in length. RNAcentral also lists the same sequence under 3 other names. Lineage: Bacteria; Bacillati; Bacillota; Clostridia; Eubacteriales; Oscillospiraceae. The record is from RNAcentral.
UGGGCCGUAGCCAAGUGGUAAGGCAUCGGACUUUGACUCCGACAUUCGUGAGUUCGAACCUCGCCGGCCCAACCA